UACGUAGGGUGCAAGCGUUGUCCGGAAUUAUUGGGCGUAAAGAGCUCGUAGGCGGUUUGUCGCGUCUGCUGUGAAAACGCGAGGCUCAACCUCGCGCCUGCAGUGGGUACGGGCAGACUAGAGUGCGGUAGGGGAGAUUGGAAUUCCUGGUGUAGCGGUGGAAUGCGCAGAUAUCAGGAGGAACACCGAUGGCGAAGGCAGAUCUCUGGGCCGUAACUGACGCUGAGGAGCGAAAGCGUGGGGGAGCGAACAGG
This 254-nucleotide ribosomal RNA is filed under the name uncultured bacterium. RNAcentral describes it as "partial 16S ribosomal RNA". It matches the Rfam family "Bacterial small subunit ribosomal RNA", at positions 524 to 776 of the family's 1533-position model. The record is from RNAcentral.